Molecule: ribosomal RNA, 1243 nt
Filed under: Salmonella enterica
Lineage: Bacteria; Pseudomonadati; Pseudomonadota; Gammaproteobacteria; Enterobacterales; Enterobacteriaceae
Also listed under: 1 other name
Description: partial 23S ribosomal RNA
Rfam family: Bacterial large subunit ribosomal RNA
Source: RNAcentral
GCUAGGGGGCCAUCCCGGCUUACCAACCCGAUGCAAACUGCGAAUACCGGAGAAUGUUAUCACGGGAGACACACGGCGGGUGCUAACGUCCGUCGUGAAGAGGGAAACAACCCAGACCGCCAGCUAAGGUCCCAAAGUCAUGGUUAAGUGGGAAACGAUGUGGGAAGGCCCAGACAGCCAGGAUGUUGGCUUAGAAGCAGCCAUCAUUUAAAGAAAGCGUAAUAGCUCACUGGUCGAGUCGGCCUGCGCGGAAGAUGUAACGGGGCUAAACCAUGCACCGAAGCUGCGGCAGCGACGCUUAUGCGUUGUUGGGUAGGGGAGCGUUCUGUAAGCCUGCGAAGGUGGCCUGUGAGGGUUGCUGGAGGUAUCAGAAGUGCGAAUGCUGACAUAAGUAACGAUAAAGCGGGUGAAAAGCCCGCUCGCCGGAAGACCAAGGGUUCCUGUCCAACGUUAAUCGGGGCAGGGUGAGUCGACCCCUAAGGCGAGGCCGAAAGGCGUAGUCGAUGGGAAACGGGUUAAUAUUCCCGUACUUGGUGUUACUGCGAAGGGGGGACGGAGAAGGCUAUGUUGGCCGGGCGACGGUUGUCCCGGUUUAAGCGUGUAGGUGUGUGUUCCAGGUAAAUCCGGUUCACUUUAACACUGAGGCGUGACGACGAGGCACUACGGUGCUGAAGCAACAAAUGCCCUGCUUCCAGGAAAAGCCUCUAAGCAUCAGGUAACAUCAAAUCGUACCCCAAACCGACACAGGUGGUCAGGUAGAGAAUACCAAGGCGCUUGAGAGAACUCGGGUGAAGGAACUAGGCAAAAUGGUGCCGUAACUUCGGGAGAAGGCACGCUGACACGUAGGUGAAGUGAUUUACUCAUGGAGCUGAAGUCAGUCGAAGAUACCAGCUGGCUGCAACUGUUUAUUAAAAACACAGCACUGUGCAAACACGAAAGUGGACGUAUACGGUGUGACGCCUGCCCGGUGCCGGAAGGUUAAUUGAUGGGGUCAGCGCAAGCGAAGCUCCUGAUCGAAGCCCCGGUAAACGGCGGCCGUAACUAUAACGGUCCUAAGGUAGCGAAAUUCCUUGUCGGGUAAGUUCCGACCUGCACGAAUGGCGUAAUGAUGGCCAGGCUGUCUCCACCCGAGACUCAGUGAAAUUGAACUCGCUGUGAAGAUGCAGUGUACCCGCGGCAAGACGGAAAGACCCCGUGAACCUUUACUAUAGCUUGACACUGAACAUUGAGCCUUGAUGUGUAG